This 692-nucleotide ribosomal RNA is filed under the name uncultured organism. Its description in RNAcentral is "SSU rRNA". It matches the Rfam family "Bacterial small subunit ribosomal RNA", at positions 28 to 690 of the family's 1533-position model. The record is from RNAcentral.
GACGAACGCUGGCGGCGUGCUUAACACAUGCAAGUCGAACGAAGAGCGAUGGAAGCUUGCUUCUAUCAAUCUUAGUGGCGAACGGGUGAGUAACGCGUAAUCAACCUGCCCUUCAGAGGGGGACAACAGUUGGAAACGACUGCUAAUACCGCAUACGAUCUAACCUCGGCAUCGAGGAUAGAUGAAAGGUGGCCUCUAUUUAUAAGCUAUCACUGAAGGAGGGGAUAGCGUCUGAUUAGCUAGUUGGAGGGGUAACGGCCCACCAAGGCGAUGAUCAGUAGCCGGUCUGAGAGGAUGAACGGCCACAUUGGGACAGAGACACGGCCCAGACUCCUACGGGAGGCAGCAGUGGGGAAUCUUCCGCAAUGGACGAAAGUCUGACGGAGCAACGCCGCGUGAGUGAUGACGGCCUUCGGGUUGUAAAGCUCUGUUAAUCGGGACGAAAGGCCUUCUUGCGAAUAGUUAGAAGGAUUGACGGUACCGGAAUAGAAAGCCACGGCUAACUACGUGCCAGCAGCCGCGGUAAUACGUAGGUGGCAAGCGUUGUCCGGAAUUAUUGGGCGUAAAGCGCGCGCAGGCGGAUUGGUCAGUCUGUCUUAAAAGUUCGGGGCUUAACCCCGUGAUGGGAUGGAAACUGCCAAUCUAGAGUAUCGGAGAGGAAAGUGGAAUUCCUAGUGUAGCGGUGAAAUGCG